CAGGCCUAACACAUGCAAGUCGAACGGCAGCGCGGGAGCAAUCCUGGCGGCGAGUGGCGAACGGGUGAGUAAUAUAUCGGAACGUGCCCAUUAGUGGGGGAUAGCCCGGCGAAAGCCGGAUUAAUACCGCAUACGACCUGAGGGUGAAAGCGGGGGAUCGCAAGGCCUCGCGCUAUUGGAGCGGCCGAUAUCAGAUUAGCUAGUUGGUGGGGUAAAGGCCUACCAAGGCAACGAUCUGUAGUUGGUCUGAGAGGACGACCAGCCACACUGGGACUGAGACACGGCCCAGACUCCUACGGGAGGCAGCAGUGGGGAAUUUUCCGCAAUGGGCGAAAGCCUGACGGAGCAAUGCCGCGUGGAGGUGGAAGGCCUACGGGUCGUCAACUUCUUUUCUCGGAGAAGAAACAAUGACGGUAUCUGAGGAAUAAGCAUCGGCUAACUCUGUGCCAGCAGCCGCGGUAAU
This 463-nucleotide ribosomal RNA is filed under the name uncultured bacterium. RNAcentral describes it as "bacterial SSU rRNA". It matches the Rfam family "Bacterial small subunit ribosomal RNA", at positions 43 to 524 of the family's 1533-position model. The record is from RNAcentral.